Molecule: ribosomal RNA, 423 nt
Filed under: uncultured bacterium
Lineage: Bacteria
Description: bacterial SSU rRNA
Rfam family: Bacterial small subunit ribosomal RNA
Source: RNAcentral
AAGGAAUAUUGGACAAUGGCCGAAAGGCUGAUCCAGCCAUGCCGCGUGAAGGACGAAGGCGCUCAGCGUUGUAAACUUCUUUUGGACGGGGAUAAUGGUGUCGACGCGUUCGGCAUUUGAAGGUACCGUCAGAAUAAGCACCGGCUAACUCCGUGCCAGCAGCCGCGGUAAUACGGAGGGUGCGAGCGUUAUCCGGAAUCACUGGGUUUAAAGGGUGCGUAGGCGGCCGGAUAAGUCAGUUGUGAAAUCGCUGGGCUGAACCCAUGCAAUUGCGAUUGAUACUGUCCGUGCUUGAAACAGGUUGAGGUAAGCGGAAUGUGGCAUGUAGCGGUGAAAUGCAUAGAUAUGCCAUAGAACACCGAUUGCGAAGGCAGCUUGCUGGGCCUGAUUUGACGCUGAGGCACGAAAGCGUGGGGAGCAAAC